Molecule: ribosomal RNA, 837 nt
Filed under: uncultured eukaryote
Lineage: Eukaryota
Description: partial 16S ribosomal RNA
Rfam family: Bacterial small subunit ribosomal RNA
Source: RNAcentral
AACGGAGGGAACAAGUGUUAUUCGUAUUAAUGGGUGUAAAACGCGCGUAGAUGGCAUUUUUAGUUUAGUUUUAAAUUUUUAAAAUUAUUUAAGUGAAAUUUUAUACGAAAAUGCUUGAGUGCUUAUAAUACAACAGUAUCUUAAGUGUAAGGUGAAAUCUAAAAAAACUUUUGAGACUAGCAAUUAGCGUAGGCGGUGUUAAGAAGUAAACUGACAUUGAGGCGCUAAAGCUUAGUAGCAAAUAGGAUUAGAGACCCUAGUAGUCUAGGCUUCACCUAUGAAUGUUAAUCAUAUAAUAAUUAUGUGGUUAGUUAACGCGAAAACAUUCUACCUGAGUACUACGACCGCAAGGUGAAACUCAAAGAAAUUGGCGGAAAACCGUACCAGCGGUGGAUAUGUGGUUUAAUUUGAGAAUACGCAAAAAACCUACCAACAUUUGCAUGUAAAAAAAAACAAAUAAACCUAUAUUAUUGGGCGCACCAUGAUAAGAGUUUAAAUGAUUUGACGGAUUUUUCACAGGCGCUGCAUGGCUGUCGUAAGUCGUGUCGUGAGAUGUCAGAUUAAUUCUUUAACGGACGCAACCCAUACUAUUUAAAUUUUAAUAUUUAAUGGUGGUGUUUUAACAAAAGGAUGAGAGUGGUUAACGUCAAGUCGAUAUGGCUUUAUAAGUUGGGCUACACACGUAAUACAAUGACAUUUUCAAGAGACAUAAUAAUGUGAAUUAUAAUAAAUCUUUAAAACUUGUCUUAGUUCGGAUAUUCUCUGUAACUUGAGAAUAUGAAGGAGGAUCGCUAGUAAUCGCAUAUUAGAAUGGUGCGGUGAAUAAUUUUCCGGUUU